GCCUCCUUGGUGGAAUGGUAGACACACCAGAUUUAGGAUCUGGGAUGAAAUAAUAGUAGUGUGUAGGUUCGAGUCCUACAGGAGGUA
Molecule: transfer RNA, 87 nt
Filed under: Crassvirales sp.
Lineage: Duplodnaviria; Heunggongvirae; Uroviricota; Caudoviricetes; Crassvirales
Description: tRNA-Leu
Rfam family: tRNA
About the family: Transfer RNA (tRNA) molecules are approximately 80 nucleotides in length. Their secondary structure includes four short double-helical elements and three loops (D, anti-codon, and T loops). Further hydrogen bonds mediate the characteristic L-shaped molecular structure. tRNAs have two regions of fundamental functional importance: the anti-codon, which is responsible for specific mRNA codon recognition, and the 3' end, to which the tRNAs corresponding amino acid is attached (by aminoacyl-tRNA synthetases). tRNAs cope with the degeneracy of the genetic code in two manners: having more than one tRNA (with a specific anti-codon) for a particular amino acid; and 'wobble' base-pairing, i.e. permitting non-standard base-pairing at the 3rd anti-codon position.
Source: RNAcentral